GAGCAAUUCAAGUAAGGUACAGCCUGCUUGAAACAGGAUACAACCUAAAAAUGUGGGUAAUUAAAUCUUUUUGCCAUAAAGUGGGCCUAAAAGCAGCCACCUUUUGAAUAGCGUCACAGCUUAAUCACACGCAGAUUUAAUAACAAAAAUUUUACCGAACCCCACCUUUCUACCAAGCAAUUCUAUAUUUUUAUAGAACUUUUUAUGUUAAAACUAGUAACAAGAAGAAUUACCUUCUCUUUAAUGCAAGCAUAAAUCAGCCAGGACCAACCACUGAUAAUUAACACCUGUGAGCUAAAAGUAACAACACUUCAAGAAAACCUUACUACAUAUUAUGUUAACCUAACACAAGAGCAUUACAAGAAAGAUUAAAAGAAAAAGAAGGAACUCGGCAAACAUUAACCCCGCCUGUUUACCAAAAACAUCGCCUCUUGACUUUAAUAAGAGGUCCAGCCUGCCCAGUGACUUUGUUCAACGGCCGCGGUAUCCUAACCGUGCGAAGGUAGCGUAAUCACUUGUUCUUUAAAUGAGGACUAGUAUGAAUGGCACCACGAAGGUUAUACUGUCUCCUUUCUCUAAUCAGUGAAACUAAUCUUCCCGUGAAGAAGCGGGAAUAAAUAUAUAAGACGAGAAGACCCUAUGGAGCUUUAAACAAGAAUACAACUGCCCCCUCCAUUAUAAAUUUCAGAAGACAAACCACUAUUUAGGCAUUUUGAUAUUAAGUUUUAGGUUGGGGUGACCACGGAGAAAAAUAUAACCUCCGCAAUGAACGGGGCUUCCCCCCUUAACUAUGAGCUACGACCCUAAGAAUCAACAAAUUGACAUCAAUUGACCCAAUAAAUUUGAUCAAUGAACCAAGUUACCCUAGGGAUAACAGCGCAAUCCACUUCAAGAGCCCCUAUCGACAAGUGGGUUUACGACCUCGAUGUUGGAUCAGGGUAUCCCAGUGGUGCAGCCGCUACUAACGGUUCGUUUGUUCAACGAUUAAAACCCUACGUGAUCUGAGUUCAGACCGGCUAUAU
This 1022-nucleotide ribosomal RNA is filed under the name Leptodactylus apepyta. Its description in RNAcentral is "partial large subunit ribosomal RNA". It matches the Rfam family "Bacterial large subunit ribosomal RNA", at positions 981 to 2625 of the family's 2925-position model. Lineage: Eukaryota; Metazoa; Chordata; Amphibia; Anura; Leptodactylidae. The record is from RNAcentral.